UAACAGUAAAGGGCACAGUGUUCCCACAGUUAAUUUGGUAUUUUAGUAAAGUAUGGAAAGGGUUAACAGCAAACAACACGGAAUUCUCAUGUAUUUUAGCUGAGCUGAAGGCAGGAACGAGUUAAAUAUAAAAGUAAAUAUAUAACAGGAACCAUGCUCUUUGUAAGUGGUUGAGUUGCUAAUUGACAAUGUGUGAAUAUUGAAACACUCAGGGAUAUCUGCGGAAGUUAGAAACCAAAGUGAACUUCAGAUUUAAGGUUGAAAACAGCCAAACUAAAAGCAUGGCUGGCUUUGAGGAAUUUUUCAGUUUGUAUAUUUGGAAUUUACUUU
Pelobates cultripes (western spadefoot toad) is the source of this 330-nucleotide non-coding RNA. The record is from the annotation of a GenBank genome assembly. NCBI's taxonomy places the organism in Eukaryota, Metazoa, Chordata, Amphibia, Anura, Pelobatidae.